This 462-nucleotide ribosomal RNA is filed under the name uncultured Methanomicrobiales archaeon. Its description in RNAcentral is "bacterial SSU rRNA". It matches the Rfam family "Archaeal small subunit ribosomal RNA", at positions 877 to 1338 of the family's 1478-position model. The record is from RNAcentral. Lineage: Archaea; Methanobacteriati; Methanobacteriota; Methanomicrobia; Methanomicrobiales.
CACCACAACAGGUGGAGCCUGCGGUUUAAUCGGACUCAACGCCGGGAAACUCACCAGAUAAGACAGCUGAAUGAUAGUCGGGCUGAAGACUCUACUUGACUAGCUGAGAGGAGGUGCAUGGCCGUCGUCAGUUCGUACUGUGAAGCAUCCUGUUAAGUCAGGCAACGAGCGAGAUCCACGCCAACAGUUGCCAGCUCGUCCUCCGGGAUGGUGGGGACACUGUUGGGACCGCCUCUGCUAAAGAGGAGGAAGGAAUGGGCAACGGUAGGUCAGCAUGCCCCGAAUUAUCUGGGCUACACGCGGGCUACAAUGGGUGGGACAAUGGGUAUCGACACCGAAAGGUGAAGGCAAUCUCCUAAACCCAUCCGUAGUUCGGAUUGUGGGCUGCAACUCGCCCACAUGAAGCUGGAAUCUGUAGUAAUCGUGUCUCAAAAUGGCACGGUGAAUAUGUCCCUGCUCCUU